Oncorhynchus kisutch (coho salmon) is the source of this 12173-nucleotide RNA transcript. It is a transcript of the gene named assembly factor for spindle microtubules, with no coding region annotated. NCBI's taxonomy places the organism in Eukaryota, Metazoa, Chordata, Actinopteri, Salmoniformes, Salmonidae. The record is from RefSeq and is a predicted model, not a curated record. The transcript has 29 exons.
UUCAAACUGAACGUAACCAUUAACAGAGAAACGUGUUUUCAGUCAGUUAACGUUUACUCGCUAUAGAGAAUAGCAAGGAAAAUAACUACGUUAAUUAGCUAGAUUUUUUUUUUUUAGAUGGUUCGGUGACUAACUUGCGUUGAUUUCUACAGAUAAGUUUGGAAAUGGCUCAGUUAUCAGCGAGGGGAGGUUUCCUGGAUUUUAGUCCCAUCAAGAAAGAAGAUUCACCUGCUGUUUCUUAUGGCAAUAAAGAAAACAAUAGCUCGCAUCCAGUUUUGAGUUUAAUUCAGUUUUCAAGGGCUCCGUUUGUAACAUUUGGAAAUGUAAAGUUGGGAUCUUCCAAAUCAUCAGUUCUUUGCAUUGAGAAUCCCGUUGAAGAUGCAAACAUAGAGGUGGCAAUUGAUAAGAUUGCAUCGACGAAAGGCUUUUCCGUGGAUCAAACCCGAUUUACAAUUCCGCCUGAGGAGCGUGUCAAUUUGACAAUAACUUGGACACCAAUAGAGGAAGGUGGUAUCCGAGAGCUGAUCACUUUCAUUGCCAAUGGGGUGGUCAAACACCAAGCCAUUUUGCUCGGUAGAGCAGACGCACCCAAAAGAAGAAAGAAGAGUCUGUGGGACUCAAUCAAAAGCAAGAAGGAAUUUGACCUAUCAGACCCUCCAAGGGGGAAGAAAAACUCAGUGUCUUCCCUGAAGAUGGCAGCCAACAAGACCUUCCAUGUGUCACGGACACCACAGUACAGACGGGAGAAGGUUCGCAGCCCUCUUGCCUCACUCAACAAAAAAGCCUGCACACCUGUGGAAGGGCAGAAGUUUAAGCAGGAUGUGUUGGGUCAGUUGAGUUUUGACAAUGUCCAAAAGAACUCGCCUGUUGUCAUUCUAGUCCCCGCUGCAAAGCUAAUCGAUUCCUCUGAUGCAGCAGCCAGCUACAGUUGCCCAGUAGGCACACCUGAGUGCAGAGACCUCACCAGACUACUGAACACGACUGUGUCCCCUGUCGGCACUCCAGAGAGGUUUCAAAAGCUGAUGCCCCAUAUUCAGUCUAUACAGAGCCCAGCCAAUGUGAUUGAUGACACUGUUGCGGACAUAAGCCAUACAGUGUUGGCCGGAACACCAGUGUUGUCUGUGAGAGAUGCACUGGCCUUGAUUGAGUCCGAUCUAACUCAUGUGGUUGGUGCAAGCCCUCCAAAUGCAUGCUCUAGCUUUGAUUUCUCCCACUCCUUGGAGUCAGCAAAUGGAGAGAAGAAUUGUGGCCCUGUCAAAUCUGUGAUUGACAUCAAAGCCCUGUCUGAAAGCCCCAUCAAGUCAGAUCCUGCACAGCCUAGACUAACCUUCUUCAUCAAACCAAAACGUGUUACUGACAAGCAGGGUAGAGUAGAGGUUGGAGAAGUUGUUCCUCAAUCCAAAAAGGUUACUUUCACCUCCACCACAGUCAUCAAAAGCAAACCAGUUCCUGUCCAGGUACGCAGUCCUGGGGUGAGGAGAAUCAAAACCUCCAGGCGCCGUCUCCUGGAGAAAACACUGGAGCUGUCUGGGGACAGUGGCCAUUCAGAGUCAAGCCCGGGUACUACAGUUACCCCUGGUCUCCCUGUCAUAGACUCUGAUGCAAAUCAUGAUUCUCCAUUAACUAUCUCCCCACGGGAGGCCAGGCUGCAGGUGCUGGAGUCAGUUUCCUAUAGGCCAGUUUGUUUGGAUGCAAUCCCUGCUCCAGUCAACCUCUCCCUCAGCUCUCCUCUGCCUAUGAACCCCUCCACUGGUGGCCCCCAGCACCUUGGCCUGGAUGAUUCCAUUCUGGGAGCCACUCAGCUCCACACAGCACCGAUAGUGGAAUCUCUACCUGACGUGUUUCCUGUUUACAACCAGAGCCAGUUUGACAUGAGGGUGGUGCAGAGCAAAAAGAGGAAGAGCGACGAGUUUCUGAGGGAUGGAGGGGAGAAAGUGGAGGAUGCUGCAGAGAAAACCAUGUUCCAUGUGAAAAAGAGUAGGGUGUCAACAGUGGUGAAGGGACCCAACAGACCAGCUCAGCAGAAGGGGUUCAGUGCCUCCUCUCACAGGCAGCAGACAAAAACAUCAGCUUCUGUGCGUACUAGUUCUGCCUCAUCCAUGAAGGCUCCAAAAUCUGUGUCCCCUGCCCAAGCCAAGCAGCCAGCUCCAAAACCUGGCCCGCAAGGUUCACAGAAAUCAUUUGGUGGCUCGUCUGUAAAAACUGCAAAGAUUGUAGCUGUGGCCCAGUCCAAGCUCGCCUUCAUCAAGCCUGGUCAAACAGCCAUACCAAGACACCCGAUGCCGUUCGCUGCGAAGAACAUGUUCUAUGAUGAGCGCUGGAUAGAGAAACAGGAGACUGGGUUUACCUGGUGGAUCAACUACGUCCUCACCCCUGAUGACUUCAAGGUCAACACGGAGGUCACCAAAGUGAAUGCCGUAUCCCUGGCGAUGGGCGGUAAUGACAAAUUUGCCAUCAACAAGGCUCCCACCAAAGAGGAGAUGUCGUUUAGUACGUACACUGCCAGGCGGCGGCUCAACCGGCUGCGUCGCUCCGCCUGCCAGCUCUUCACCUCCGAGCCCAUGGUCAAAGCCAUCCAGAGGCUGGAGUUGGAGGUGGAGGCUAGAAGGUUACUGGUACGCAAGGAUCGGCAUCUUUGGAAGGACAUCGGGGAACGCCAAAAGGUUCUCAACUGGCUUCUAUCGUACAAUCCUCUUUGGUUGCGGAUUGGACUUGAGACUAUUUACGGGGAGAUGAUCUCACUGGAGAGCAACAGUGACGUCAUGGGCUUAGCCAUGUUCAUUCUGAAACGUCUGCUGUGGAACCCUGACAUCGCUGCGGAGUUCAGACAUGCCAAAGUACCCAACCUCUACAAAGAUGGCCACGAGGGGGCGCUGUCUCGUUUCACUCUGAAGAAGCUUCUCCUCCUGGUGUGUUUCCUGGAUAAAGCCAAAGAGUCCAGGAUGAUCGAACAUGACCCCUGUCUGUUCUGUAUGGAUGCGGAAUUCAAGACUACCAAGGACCUGCUGCUGGCUUUUUCCAGGGACUUCCUAAGUGGGGAGGGGAUCCUCCCCCGUCACCUGGGUUACAUGGGCCUACUGGUCUCCCACAUCCAGACGCCUCUGGACGAGUUCAACUUCGCUGUCAAGAAUCUGUCCGUUGACCUUAAGUGUGGAAUCCGUCUAGUGCGUGUGAUGGAGCUGUUCAUCCAGGACUGGAGCUUGUCCCGUAAGCUGAGGAUGCCCGCAAUCAGUCGUCUGCAGAAGGUCCACAACGUUGACAUAGCCCUGCAGGUGCUCCGAGCCAGAGGGGUUGACCUCAAGGAUGAACAUGAUGCUGUCAUUGACUCCAGAGAUAUUGUGGAUGGACACAGGGAGAAGACACUGAGCCUGCUGUGGAAGAUCAUUUUUGCCUUCCAGGUGGAGGUUCUUCUGGAUGAGGACCAGCUGAGAAAAGAGAUCAGUUUCCUCAAACGCACCUGGACCACCAAACAGAGGCUGGCCUCCCUGAGGGCCGACAAAGGUGUGCUGCAGAAUACUGCCAAGCCUAGACCCCCAUUCAAGCACAGUAGCUCAAAGAUCACUCUACUCAUGGAAUGGGUCAAUGCUGUCUGCCAGUUCUACCACUUGAAGGCAGAGAACUUCACGGUGUCGUUCUCAGACGGUCGUAUCCUCUGCUACCUGAUCCACCACUACCACCCCAGCCACCUACCGGCAGACUGCGUCAGCCACAACACCACCCAAACUGUGGAGUGCUCCCAGAGAGGACGAGUUGAACUCAACAGCUCCUCCAGCGACUCGGACAUCUCCUUUGACACCUGGCCCACCACACAAAAUGGCCUUGUGUUGCCAUCCAUGGAGUUCAAAGAGCUUCUGGAGAAUGAGAAGAAUAACUUCAGGCUGGUCAACACUGCAGUGUCUGACUUGGGAGGGGUUCCUGCCAUGAUGAACCCUGCUGACAUGUCAAACACUAUCCCAAAUGAGAAGGUUGUGACAUGUUACCUGUCCUUCCUGUGUGCCCGUCUCCUGGACCUGCGGAAUGAGACGCGUGCUGCCAGGAUCAUCCAGGGAGCUUGGAGAAAGUACCGUCUGAAGAAGGAUCUGAAGCUUUACCAGGAAAGGACUGUAGCAGCGGGGAAGAUCCAGGUGCUGGUCAGGCAGUUUCUCCAGAGACGUAGAGCUGUCUGUCAGACCGCUGCAGCCGUCCGAAUCCAGGCUGCAUGGAGGGGCUACACAGUGCGGAACGCCCUGACACUGAGGAGAAAGGCUCUACUCUGGGCUCGCCAGGUUGCUGCUGCUACCACCAUCCAAGCACAAUGGAAGAAGUAUAUUACCUUGAAAAACUACCAGUGCAUGAGAUUGCAUGUUGUUAAAGUUCAAGCUCUCUGGCGGAUGAAGAUGGCAGUCACUACCUACAGAAGGACACAGUGGGCUGCAACUGUAAUUCAGGAGCAUGUUAGGGCCUCGGCUCUGGCAAGGGAAGAGCGUGAAUGUUACUGCUCGCUGAGAUCAGCAGCUAUCAAAAUCCAGAGAAACUAUCGGAGACGCAAGACUCGGAGACUGCAGAGGGAGAACCAUGCUGCCACAGUGAUACAAACUGCAUUUAAGAAAUGGCACAGUGACAAAAUGGCCCGACUGACCGCAGCUGCCCUGAAGAUUCAGUCUUGCUACAGAAUGCACAGGUGCCUAAAACAGUACAUGGGCGCCCAGCGGAGCGCCAUCCUCAUUCAGGCUUGGUGUAGGGGUCAUGCACAGAGACGCAACUUUGAGACACUGAAACUGCAGCAUCACUCUGCCACUGUCAUCCAAAGUGCUUUUAGGGCAAGGACGGUCAGAAAACAGAUGACGACGAUGAGACAAUCCUCAGUCGUGAUUCAGCGUUGGUUCAGGGCCUCUGUACAAAGAGAUGCAGGGAGGCAACAAUUCCUGAAAAUGAGAUGUGCUGCUGUUACCAUACAGUCCGCUUAUCGUGGACAUACGGCUCGGAGACUACUGCAACAACAGAAUCAGGCAGCCACAGUCAUCCAGACAACUUUCAUGAAGUUUGUGGCCAGACGAAAAUUAUUGUCCUUGAAAAAAUCUGCGAUUGUUGUCCAACAGCAAUUUAGAGCCAAGCUAGUAGGGGAGAAAUCAAGGAAAGAAUAUAUGGCCCUCCAAUAUUCUGCAUUGAGAAUACAAGCUAUCUGGAGAGGUAGGGCAGAGAGGAAGAGGCUUGAAAAACUGCAAAAAUGCGCCACACUCAUUCAGUCUUCCUACCGUAGACAUGUAUUGCAGUCACAGUUCAGGUCAAGAAAGGAGGCUGCUUGGACCAUCCAAAGCCAGUACAGAGCUUAUAGGGCAGGGGAAACAAUUAGAACUGAUUAUCUCCUGGUCAAGAAGGCUGCUGUUACUGUACAAGCCUGGUUCCGUGGCAUGAGAGUUAGGCAAGAGCUGAGGCGAAAACACCAGGCUGCUACUGUCCUUCAGUCAGUAGUGAGAGUCAUUCUCUGUAGAAGACGAUAUGUGUUACUGCAACGUGCCGCUGUAGUCCUCCAGUGUCGGUACCGGGCUCUUGUAGCAAGCAGAACACAGCGAGCGCAGUACAGCCAGCUGAAAUUGGCUACAGUAAAGCUACAGUCUGCUUACCGGGGAUCCAGCGUCCGAAGAGACCUAAGGAUGAAACACCAAGCUGCUACGGUCAUCCAAGCUCAGUUAAGGAUGCACAAAGUGCGUCAGGCCUAUCUUGCCACAAAGGUGGCGGCCAUCAUUGUACAGCAGCAUUUCAGGGCCAAUCGGCUCCGAGAUCUACAGAUGCAAGGGUACACCUCAGUGAAGUCCGCUGCAGUUGUGAUUCAGGCAGUGUAUCGCGGUCACAGAGCAAGAAUGGAGGUUGCUAGGAUGCACCACUCAGCCAUGAUCAUUCAGAGGAGGUUCCUCACUUUCAGGGACAGGAAACGCUUCCUUGCGGUCAAAACUGCUGUUCUACUAUGUCAACAGAGAUGCAGGUAUGUUGCCAUGGUAAGAAAAGACCAGAGGGACUAUCUGUUGAAGCUUAGGGCAGCCACUGCUCUGCAAGCAGCUUUCAGAGGGCUGAAGGUCCGGAAGCAGUUGCAGACUGAAUGCAGAGCGGCCAUACUCAUUCAAUCUCACAUCCGGAAACACCUGCAGAGGGCGCACUAUGAGAUGCUUCAGUGGGCUGUGAACACAGUGCAGGCUCGUUACAGAGCCAACAAGAAGAUGAUGGAAGACAGGAAAGCACUGUGCAUAAAGAGGAGGGCUGUUGUGUUACAGGCUGCCUUCCGGGGCAUGCUAUCCAGACAGCGCAUGAGAGAGAUGCACAAGGCCGCCAGUGUUCUCCAGAGAAGUUACAGGGCGCACUGCGAACGCCGACAGUACCUCUCCUUGAGAUCCUCUGUCCUUGCCAUUCAACAAAAAUAUCGUGCCGCUGUUGCAGUGAAACAGCAGAUGCAUCACUACCAACGAAUGCGCAGUGCUGCAAUCCUGUUCCAAGCAGCAUACAGAGGCCAGAGAGCCAGAAAGGAGAUCAGGCUUCAACAUCAAGCUGCCACCACGAUCCAGGCUGGCUUCCGAAAGCACAGAGAGGAAGUCAAGUUCCAGGCCAUGAGGUUUGCUGCCAUCAUCAUCCAGAGAUACUUCAGAUCUCACAUUCAAAGGAAACAAGACAGAGACCAGUUCUUGACACUGAAGGAUUCGGCCAUAGUCCUUCAGGCAGCUUUCAGAGGGCGUUGUGUGCGCCAUGACGUUGCUAAGAUGAAGAGAGCUGCUACUGUGAUUCAGGCCAACUUCAGGAUGCACAAGGAGCAGGUCAAGUUCCAGGCCAUGAGAUUGUCUGCUGUCAUCAUUCAGAGGCACUACAGAUCUCACAUUCAAAUGAAACGAGACCGAGACAGAUUCAUAAAGAUCAGAGAGUCUGCCAUUGUCCUUCAGGAAGCUUUCAGAGAAAUGACUGCACGGAAGCAGUUGCAGACUGAAUGCAGAGCUUCCAUACUCAUUCAAUCUCACGUCCGGAAACGCCUUCAGAGGGCGCACUAUAAGAGGCUUCAGUGGGCUGUGAACACAGUGCAGGCUCGUUACAGAGCCAACAAGAUGAUUGAAGACACGAAAGCACUGUGCAUAAAGAGGAGGGCUGUUGUCGUGUUACAGGCUGCCUUCCGGGGCAUGCUAUCCAGACAGCGCAUGAGAGAGAUGCACAAGGCCGCCAGUGUUCUCCAGAGAAGUUACAGGGCGCACUGCGAAUGCCGACAGUACCUCUCCUUGAGAUCCUCUGUCCUUGCCAUUCAACAAAAAUAUCGUGCCGCUGUUGCAGUGAAACAGCAGAUGCAUCACUACCAACGAAUGCGCAGUGCUGCAAUCCUGUUUCAAGCAGCAUACAGAGGCCAGAGAGCCAGAAAGGAGAUCAGGCUUCAACAUCAAGCUGCCACCACGAUCCAGGCUGGCUUCCGAAAGCACAGAGAGGAAGUCAAGUUCCAGGCCAUGAGGUUUGCUGCCAUCAUCAUCCAGAGAUACUUCAGAUCUCACAUUCAAAUGAAACGAGACCGAGACAGAUUCAUAAAGAUCAGAGAGUCUGCCUUUGUCCUUCAGGCAGCUUUCAGAGCAUAUCACAUUCGACAAGAUGCUGCUAAGAUGCACAGAGCUGCUUCUGUGAUUCAGGCCAACUUCAGGAUGCACAAGGAGCAGGUCAAGUUCCAGGCCAUGAGAUUGUCUGCUGUCAUCAUUCAGAGGUACUACAGAUCUCACCUUCAAAGGAAACAAGACCGAGACCAGUUCUUGACACUGAAGGAUUCGGCCAUAGUCCUUCAGGCAGCUUUCAGAGGGUAUCGCGUUCGACAAGACGUUGCUAAGAUGUGCAGAGCUGCUACUGUGAUCCAGGCCAACUUCAGGAUGCACAAGGAGCAGUCUGCUUAUAGGAGGCAGCAUUGGGCAGCCAGUGUUCUUCAGCAAAGAUUCAGAGCUCAGAGACUGAGGAACUCUCAGUUGGAGAACUACCAUCAGAUGAGAAAUGCUGUGAUAAACCUUCAGGCCUUGUAUAGGGGAAAACAGGCAAUAGAGCUGGCUAAACGGAUGAUGGCAGCCAGGAAGAUUCAGUCAUUUCUGAGAAUGAGCAUCAGACGACAACACUUCUUGAAGGAAAAGGCUGCUGCUCUGUUGAUCCAGUCUGCCUUCAGAAGACACCAGGCCAGGACACGGUACAACGAAACACAAGCCUCUGCAGUCACGAUCCAAAGAUGGUUCAGAUCAUGCAACGUCCUCAGACGACAAAGGGACGACUACUUGGCCAUCAGAGAAGCUGCUGUGAAGCUUCAGUCAGCCAUCCGUGGAACCCUGGCAAGAAGGCUGGCCAGACGCAAACGUGCGGCUGUCAAGAUCCAGUCCGUGAUACGCAUGUCCAUCCAACGGAGAAGUUAUCUGACCCUGCGAUCCAGCACGGUAAAGCUGCAGUCUCACUGCAGGGCUUGGGUGGCGAGGAGGAGAUUCCUGAUGUGUCGGACAGCGGCCGCUACUCUCCAAAAGCACUACAGAGGCCGGCAGGUCCAGAGAGGGCAGCGAUCCCUGUACCUAAAGACCCUGACCAGUGUCAAAAUGCUGCAGGCCAGAGUGCGUGGACACAUCCAACUCAAGAGGUACCGGAAUCUCAAGAGAAGUGCAGUCACAAUUCAGGCAUUUUACCGUGGAAUGGUGGGGAGGCGCCGGUUUCAGCAUCAAAGGGCAUCUGCUGCUAUAAUACAGGAAUGUUUCAGGGCCCAUCUCCUCUGCCGAAGAGAGAGGGCAAAAUACCUGGAAAUGAAGAAGUCUGCUGUUCUUAUUCAAGCAGUGUUCCGUGGUGAUCUUGCCAGACAGAGUGCCAAGAAACGUCAGGCGGCUGUCGCCACAGUCCACCGAUGUAUGCAGACCAGGCAUCUACGCAACAGGUUCCUAGUGAUCCAGUGUAGUGUACGGCUCAUUCAGGGCAGAUGGAGGGAGACCUUGAAAGCCAGGGAAGAGCGUCGCAACUUCCUGGUCAUGAAAGCUGCCGCUGUUACAAUCGAAGCGUCAUGGAGAGGCCAUGCGACCAGGAAUCGCCUGCGUAAGGAGCAGCGGGCUGCGGUGCUGGUCCAGUCGUCCUUCCGGAGAUGGGUCCAGAAACGGGCGUUCCAGAGACAAAGAGAGGCUGCCCUGGUCCUACAGAGGAGAGUCCGAGCUAUGCAGCAGGCUAAAGCAGAGAGGGUCAAAUACACACGUUUGAAACAGGCUACCAUCACUGUCCAGGCUCACUGCAGAGGCUGGAUUGCCAGGAGACAGUUGAGAGAAGCGGCCUCUGCGGAGAGGAGGGUGCGUUUCUGUGCGGCUGUGUACCACCACCUCUGUGCUGUGCGGAUCCAGAGAGCUCUGAGGUCACACUGGGCUCUGCGGUCUGCCAAGAGACAGAUCACCUCUGUCAUUUUUAUACAGAGGUGGCUGAGAGCACGGAUCCAGAGGCGGCGAUACCUGGAGGACAGGAGGAGGGUGGUCGUGGCCCAGAGGGCAGCCAGGAGUUGGUUAGCUCGCCGCCGUCACGCCGCCUCCACCAUCCAGCACGCCGCCAGGACCUUCCUCCUCCGUAGGCGGGAACAGAGGGUUCAGCAGGGCAUCAUCAAGGCACAGGCGUUGUGGCGAGGCCACCAGUCCAGAAAGCUCCAUGACAAUCGUAAAGUGGUGUCCAUGAGGCAUCGUCUGCGGAAGGUGUCUGAGGAGGUACGAGAGGAGGACCGGCUGUGCAACAAGACGUCCUGGGCCAUCGAAUACCUCCUCAAAUACAAGCACUUCUCCUAUAUCUUGGAGGCUCUGAAGAAUCUGGAGACCGCCACUAGGCUGUCCCCAGAGUGCUGUGAGCAUCUGGUGACGAGCGGCGCCACGCUGGUCAUCUUCACGCUGAUCCGCAGCUGCAACCGGAGUGUCCCCUCUAUGGAAGUCAUUACCUACGCCAUCCAGGUGCUCCUCAACCUCUCCAAGUAUGACAAGACAAUCGAGGCGGUUUAUGCGGUGGAGAACUCUGUGGACACACUGCUGGACCUGCUCCAGAUAUACAGGGAGAAGGCCGGAGACAAGGUGGCCGACAAAGGAGGCAGCAUCUUCACCAAGGCCUGCUUCCUCCUGAUCAUCCUGCUGCAGGACCAGUACAGGGCUCUGGUAUGGCACUGCUGCUGCUAUUGCGCCUGCUAUUGCGCCUGCUAUUGCGCCUGCUAUUGCGCCUGCUAUUGCGCCUGCUAUUGCGCCUGCUAUUGCGCCUGCUAUUGCGCCUGCUAUUGCGCCUGCUAUUGCGCCUGCUAUUGCGCCUGCUAUUGCGCCUGCUAUUGCGCCUGCUAUUGCGCCUGCUAUUGCGCCUGCUAUUGCGCCUGCUAUUGCGCCUGCUAUUGCGCCUGCUAUUGCGCCUGCUAUUGCGCCUGCUAUUGCGCCUGCUAUUGCGCCUGCUAUUGCGCCUGCUAUUGCGCCUGCUAUUGCGCCUGCUAUUGCGCCUGCUAUUGCGCCUGCUAUUGCGCCUGCUAUUGCGCCUGCUAUUGCGCCUGCUAUUGCGCCUGCUAUUGCGCCUGCUAUUGCGCCUGCUAUUGCGCCUGCUAUUGCGCCUGCUAUUGCGCCUGCUAUUGCGCCUGCUAUUGCGGCUGCUAUUGCGGCUGCUAUUGCGCCUGCUAUUGCGCCUGCUAUUGCGCCUGCUAUUGCGGCUGCUAUUGCGGCUACAGCUGCUUUUAUUACUAUUAUCGCUGCUGCUAGUGUUGUAAAUACUUUAAAGUACUUAAGUCGUUUUUGGGGGGGUUAUCUGCACUUUACUAUUUAUAUUUUUGACAACUUUUACUUAUCUACAUUCCUAAAGAAAAUAAUGCACUUUUUACUCCAUACAUUUUCCCUGUCACCCAGAAGUACUUGUUACAUUUUGAAUGCUUAACAGGACAGGGAAAUGGUCUAAUUCACACACUUAUCAAGAGAACAUCCCAUGUCAUCCCUACUGCCUCUGAUCUGGUGGACUAACUAAACACAUGCCCUAUUUGUAAAUGGUUGGAGUGUGCCCUUGACUAUCCGUAAAAAAAAAAUUUUUAAAGAAUGUUGUGCCGUUUGGAUUGCCUAAUAGAAAUAAUUAGAAAUAGUUUAUACUUUUGAUACUCUAUCUUUUUGCAAUUACAUUUUACUUUUUAUAGUUUUUACUCGUAGUAUUUUAUUGGACGAAUUUCACUUGAGUGAUUUUCUAUUAAGGUAUAUUUGUACUUUUACUCUACUUUUGACAAAUGGGUUAUUUUUCCGCUGCUACUACAACCUGCGGCGGAUGCUACUGCUUCUGUCUGACUGGUUUAUGAUGUUCACAACUAAACAUGUCUGACUGGUUGGUUUCUGUGGUCUUCAGGAAGUGAGGAAGCUUUCCAAGGCAGUUGACCGGCUCCGCAGCAUCUACCGCCUCACUGCACGCAAACACAAGAUGGAUGCCGAGAGGACCGUGGUCAAGCAGAAGAUGGGGGCAUCCAUAAAUGGAAGCUUCAUCGUCCCGGCAACCCCCCGCAAAUCCAAGCCAGUGCCUAAAUUCUCCCCUGAUUGGGUUCUCAGAAAGGACAAACUGCAAGACAUAGUUGACCCUCUCCGAGCUGUACAGAUGGUGGCUGACGUCUUCUCUAUUGUGCUUUAAAUAUACUUAAUUAAAUAUUUUCUUUGGCUUUUUCCAUAGUCAUUUUUUUGUAUAAUUGUUUAUUAAAUGAUACGCAUAUGAUAAUUGUAUUUUUAAAGUUUUUUAAAAAUGUACUCUACGUUGUCUUUUUAUUUUAGCUUGUUAAUGUUUUGAUUCUAUCUAGAAAAAGCUCCAUGAGUUGUCUUUAACUUCAUUCAACAAGGAGACAUGAUGCAAGGUGUAUACACUGAUGGUUGGUGGCCACACGAUGGAAGCAUUUAACCUGUAGGUUAAUGGAUUGAAUAAGGGUGAAUUAAAAAACAUGUAGACCUAUUACUAUUAUCCCAUGUUAAUGAUCAAAAAACCUCUGUGGGAGAAAGACACUAGAAGUCUCCUGACAACGGGUGAGUAACGUGGCGUUUGAACUGUCUAGAUAGGUGUGUGAAGUAUCUGGUAAUUGAAAGAUGUGAUUUAGAUCUAAUUUGCAUAUGCCAAACAGAAAAUAUACUGGAGUGAUUCUUGAAUCCAUUCUGUAAAUAUUUACUUUGACUGCCUACUGCUGUAAAUAAAACAUCUGAUUUCACCUGAAA